CUCUUAUCAAGAGAGGUGGAGGGAUAGGGCCCUGUGAAACCCGGCAACCUGUAUUAAUAUAAGGUGCCAAUUCCUGUAGAUAUUUCUACAAGAUAAGAA
RNAcentral lists this non-coding RNA (99 nucleotides) under Clostridium chromiireducens. RNAcentral describes it as "SAM-I sequence". It matches the Rfam family "SAM riboswitch aptamer (S box leader)". Rfam says of the family: The SAM riboswitch is found upstream of a number of genes which code for proteins involved in methionine or cysteine biosynthesis in Gram-positive bacteria. The SAM riboswitch acts at the level of transcription termination control. Lineage: Bacteria; Bacillati; Bacillota; Clostridia; Eubacteriales; Clostridiaceae. The record is from Rfam by way of RNAcentral.